Molecule: ribosomal RNA, 715 nt
Filed under: Bifidobacterium longum subsp. infantis
Lineage: Bacteria; Bacillati; Actinomycetota; Actinomycetes; Bifidobacteriales; Bifidobacteriaceae
Description: bacterial SSU rRNA
Rfam family: Bacterial small subunit ribosomal RNA
Source: RNAcentral
UGGGGGCGGCGUGCUUAACACAUGCAAGUCGAACGGGAUCCAUCGGGCUUUGCUUGGUGGUGAGAGUGGCGAACGGGUGAGUAAUGCGUGACCGACCUGCCCCAUACACCGGAAUAGCUCCUGGAAACGGGUGGUAAUGCCGGAUGUUCCAGUUGAUCGCAUGGUCUUCUGGGAAAGCUUUCGCGGUAUGGGAUGGGGUCGCGUCCUAUCAGCUUGACGGCGGGGUAACGGCCCACCGUGGCUUCGACGGGUAGCCGGCCUGAGAGGGCGACCGGCCACAUUGGGACUGAGAUACGGCCCAGACUCCUACGGGAGGCAGCAGUGGGGAAUAUUGCACAAUGGGCGCAAGCCUGAUGCAGCGACGCCGCGUGAGGGAUGGAGGCCUUCGGGUUGUAAACCUCUUUUAUCGGGGAGCAAGCGUGAGUGAGUUUACCCGUUGAAUAAGCACCGGCUAACUACGUGCCAGCAGCCGCGGUAAUACGUAGGGUGCAAGCGUUAUCCGGAAUUAUUGGGCGUAAAGGGCUCGUAGGCGGUUCGUCGCGUCCGGUGUGAAAGUCCAUCGCUUAACGGUGGAUCCGCGCCGGGUACGGGCGGGCUUGAGUGCGGUAGGGGAGACUGGAAUUCCCGGUGUAACGGUGGAAUGUGUAGAUAUCGGGAAGAACACCAAUGGCGAAGGCAGGUCUCUGGGCCGUUACUGACGCUGAGGAGCGAAAGC